RNAcentral lists this ribosomal RNA (192 nucleotides) under Enterococcus faecalis. RNAcentral describes it as "partial 16S ribosomal RNA". It matches the Rfam family "Bacterial small subunit ribosomal RNA", at positions 1 to 177 of the family's 1533-position model. Lineage: Bacteria; Bacillati; Bacillota; Bacilli; Lactobacillales; Enterococcaceae. The record is from RNAcentral.
UAUUAUGAGAGUUUGAUCCUGGCUCAGGACGAACGCUGGCGGCGUGCCUAAUACAUGCAAGUCGGACGCUUCUUUCCUCCCGAGUGCUUGCACUCAAUUGGAAAGAGGAGUGGCGGACGGGUGAGUAACACGUGGGUAACCUACCCAUCAGAGGGGGAUAACACUUGGAAACAGGUGCUAAUACCGCAUAAC